This is a long non-coding RNA of Pimephales promelas (fathead minnow), 2051 nucleotides long. RefSeq lists it as uncharacterized. The record is from RefSeq and is a predicted model, not a curated record. Lineage: Eukaryota; Metazoa; Chordata; Actinopteri; Cypriniformes; Leuciscidae.
AAUGUGAGUAUCAACAGCAUCUUUGAAUCUGUUGUCAGAGGCACUGAACUCUAUCAGCUCCUAUAACCUGAUGACUUAAUUGGCUUACAGGCUGUUGAAUAGUGAAUGAGGAACUGAGUUAUAUUUCUGUGACCUGGAUAACUGAACUUGACAAUGUGUGCACAAAGAACAGACUUGACAACACACGUUUCACCAUCCUUCCGUGAUGUUCUACAUAUGCAUCUACAUCCUUUGUUUAAAUAUUUACAUACUGUCUGCUGGUUUAAGUAUGUUCACUCAAAACAAUUAAAAUCCAAAUCUUUAUGUAUCAUCUUGUUUUAAGUAUAAUUAGCAGACAGUUUUUUCCCCCACCAGGGGGCGCUGUGCAGAGAGUGUAGGCCUUCUGGGCAGCUGAUAGUCCAUCAUUAGGUAACUGCAGUUAACCUUGACAAACUGUCCAUGCCUGUAUGUCUAUUCUAUAAUGACUGGCAAUAUGCCCGUAAUUUGGGUGUGCCAGCAUGUCUAAAGAUUUUCAACCCAGUGAGAUCCGAGAUUGUGGCCGAACUAGCUAUGAAAGGUAUGCUAUGUUUACAUUCAGAUAUAUAUUUUAAGCAGACACUAUCUUAACAAUGCAAUUUACAAAGUUGCGUUCUGUUCCAGGUAUUUGUGUUGGUUGGUAAACUUUACGGUCCAUGCAGUACUGCACAGAAACAGUGCUAGAGACAAACAAAACCAUACUAAACUACUAAGGCAGGUAAACCAAGGGAGAGAUUACAGCAAGCAUUAAGGAAACCAUUUUGGACCCAUCUCUGACUGGUUCAGACUUUGACACUUUCAAUAACAGAAACCAAAAUGACCUCUGCAUGGAGAGAUACUGGCAGGAUUAUGUUUUUGUCAAUUUAAUUAAAACUAAUCCCAGCGAUUCCGAAUGAUUAAAAACUCUGGUUUCCAAUAAAUCAUUCAGUUAAAUCAAUGCCAGGUAUGGGGCUGCUGAUGGCAAAAGACUGAGCUUUUUGGUCUCAGAUGAACUGGCAUGGCAUUCACGCCCGAAACUCCUGUUUGUUCAGAGGAGCAGCAGCCGUGCUAGCCUGGCACGGCAUCACAUUCCUUCAUAACUGGCUCAUUCUGGACUGGGCCCAAUAUAAAGUAAAUUUGAACAUAGAAGUACCUUUUCACAGGUGUUAAGACUGAUACAGCAGCCAGUUCAGAUGGGUUCUCCUGAAAGGAUUCAACUAAAUGUAAACCUCUCAGAAAUGCCAUAAUGGAAUUAUGGGAAUCGGUGGUUUGACCUGCAUUGUUUUGAGUGGUACAGACUCCAAAACAACAUUGUGGAAGACUCUUAGAGAUGUUUACAACGAAGUUCAAGGUUCAGGGAUGGAGAGCUUCUCUAUGGGACGAGGACGGCCUCUGUCUGCUACAUCCCCUGGUGGAUGGCGACAGCUUCUCUGGCUUUGGGCUCCAGGCUACAAGCCCCCCGUUCCCUCGCUCGCCACCUUCUCCCCAGCAUAGCGGAUGGCACCAGGCUCUGGCCUUAGGCGAACAGGGUUAACUCCUCCAUCUCCUCACGGAUGGCAGAUGUCCCUCUAGAACCCAGGCGGACGGCAGUGAGUUUAUCCAUCUCCCCGGCAAGUCACUCCAGCACCAACACCUCGGGUAGCCACUGGCGGUAACCGCUACUUUGUGCUACCAGACCCUCUCAGUACCACGAUCCCCCUCAGUUGGACUUUCUGGAAGCAUAUCCCUCCUUCCUCCUGGUUAUUGGUACUGAUGUUCAGGGAAGGAGGAGGUGGGAACCAGCAAACAAUCAAUGUAAACUUUAAUCACAAAAUAAGCCCCUACAACCCCCCGCCGCAUAAACUAAAACAAAACAAAACAACAACAUAAAGGCCUAGGCCUGGUCCUCUCUCGUCUUGCACUGUUGUCACUUUUUCUUUUAUCCUUCUGGAGCUCCUCCGUAGGACUCGAGACCAGUGUGGCACACAGGUGAUGUUCAUUAACACUCAUGCUACCGGCCUCACUUUGCUCCCACGUCUCUUGGCCCCGCCCUGCUCGCCACAGUGUUAUUGGAAAAU